ACGGGGUGCAGCAGGCGCGAAAAUUUCGCAAUAAGCGAAAGCUUGACGGAGCUAUCCCGAGUGCCCUCCGCUGAGGAGGGCUUUUCGCCAGUGUAGAUAGCUGGUGGAAUAAGGAGAGGGCAAGUCUGGUGUCAGUCGCCGCGGUAAUACCAGCUCUCCGAGUGGUGUGGAUGUUUAUUGGGCCUAAAGCAUCCGUAGCUGGCCAAGUUAGUCCCCUGUUAAAUCCACCGAAUUAAUCGUUGGUGUGCGGGGGAUACUGCUUGGCUAGGGGACGAGAGAGGCAGACGGUAUUUUCGGGGUAGGGGUGAAAUCCUAUAAUCCCGGGAAGACCACCAGUGGCGAAGGCUGUCUGCUAGCACACGCUCGACGGUGAGGGACGAAAGCUGGGGGAGCGAACCGGAUUAGAUACCCGGGUAGUCCCAGCUGUAAACGAUGCGGGCUAGGUGUUGGAAUGGCUACGUGCCAUUUCAGUGCCGCAGGGAAGCCAUUAAGCCCGCCGCCUGGGGAGUACGGCCGCAAGGCUGAAACUUAAAGGAAUUGGCGGGGGAGCAC
This 552-nucleotide ribosomal RNA is filed under the name uncultured archaeon. Its description in RNAcentral is "bacterial SSU rRNA". It matches the Rfam family "Archaeal small subunit ribosomal RNA", at positions 325 to 879 of the family's 1478-position model. The record is from RNAcentral.